GAGUAAAAGUCGUAACAAGGUUUCCGUAGGUGAACCUGCGGAAGGAUCAUUAAUGUGUUUGGGCCUCACGGCUCUUCAUUCCGACGCUGUGCGCCUUCGGGCUGCACGCUGAGGGAGCAUAUAUCCACCCCUGUGCACACACACGGUGGCGAGCUGGGUAACGGCUCGCCGCUGAUCUUUACACACGUCUAAAAGUCAUUGUAUGUUUAUUUGAGAUAAAAACACAACUUUCAGCAACGGAUCUCUUGGCUCUC
Molecule: unclassified non-coding RNA, 254 nt
Filed under: plant metagenome
Description: partial contains small subunit ribosomal RNA, internal transcribed spacer 1, and 5.8S ribosomal RNA
Rfam family: Eukaryotic small subunit ribosomal RNA (bases 1-52)
Source: RNAcentral